UGGGGAAUAUUGCACAAUGGGCGAAAGCCUGAUGCGGCAACGCCGCGUGAGGGACGACGGCCUUCGGGUUGUAAACCUCUUUUAGCAAGGAAGAAGCGAAAGUGACGGUACUUGCAGAAAAAGCGCCGGCUAACUACGUGCCAGCAGCCGCGGUAAUACGUAGGGCGCAAGCGUUAUCCGGAAUUAUUGGGCGUAAAGAGCUCGUAGGCGGUUUGUCGCGUCUGCUGUGAAAACCCGAGGCUCAACCUCGGGCCUGCAGUGGGUACGGGCAGACUAGAGUGCGGUAGGGGAGAUUGGAACUCCUGGUGUAGCGGUGGAAUGCGCAGAUAUCAGGAAGAACACCGAUGGCGAAGGCAGAUCUCUGGGCCGUAACUGACGCUGAGGAGCGAAAGGGUGGGGAGCAAACAGGCUUAGAUACCCUGGUAGUCCACCCCGUAAACGUUGGGAACUAGUUGUGGGGUCCAUUCCACGGAUUCCGUGACGCAGCUAACGCAUUAAGUUCCCCGCCUGGGGAGUACGGCCGCAAGGCUAAAACUCAAAGGAAUUGACGGGGUCAUAGCUGUUUCCU
Molecule: ribosomal RNA, 568 nt
Filed under: uncultured bacterium
Lineage: Bacteria
Description: partial 16S ribosomal RNA
Rfam family: Bacterial small subunit ribosomal RNA
Source: RNAcentral